Molecule: ribosomal RNA, 450 nt
Filed under: uncultured bacterium
Lineage: Bacteria
Description: partial 16S ribosomal RNA
Rfam family: Bacterial small subunit ribosomal RNA
Source: RNAcentral
CCUACGGGCGGCUGCAGUCGAGAAUCUUCGGCAAUGAGCGCAAGCUUGACCGAGCGACGCCGCGUGUGGGAUGAAGGCCCUCGGGUUGUAAACCACUGUCGUAGGGGAGGAAGGCUCCGUGAAGAGCGGGGCUUGACCUAUCCUAGGAGGAAGUACGGGCUAAGUUCGUGCCAGCAGCCGCGGUAAGACGAACCGUACGAAGGUUAUUCGGGAUUACAAGGCUUUAAGGGCGUGUUUGCGGCUCAGUAGGGAAAGCCCUCGGCUCAACCGAGGAAUAGCGCUUGAUACUGCAAGGCUUGAGGGAGACAGGGGUAAGCGGAACUGAUGGUGGAGCGGUGAAAUGCGUUGAUAUCAUCAGGAACACCGGUGGCGAAAGCGGCUUACUGGGUCUCUUCUGACGCUGAGGAACGAAAGCUAGGGGAGCGAACGGGAUUAGAUACCCGUGUAGUC